Molecule: non-coding RNA, 1261 nt
Organism: Ictidomys tridecemlineatus (thirteen-lined ground squirrel)
Lineage: Eukaryota; Metazoa; Chordata; Mammalia; Rodentia; Sciuridae
Source: RefSeq, a predicted model, not a curated record
CGAGACAAGCACGUACCAUUUAAAUAAUGGCGCCAAGCGGCUAGGUUUGACAGUUACUCUCCCCUCGGCCUCCCCGCCCCCAUUCUCGCUCUGCAGAGGCCUCCAGGGAAGGGACCGAGCUAGAGGGACGCUGGCCUGAGCCCCGCCCCUCGGGAUCGGCGGAACCCUUUGGCCAAGCUUCGAUGCCUACUGUCGUAGAAACAAUAAUGACCCCUCCCCCAACCAGCAAGGCAUUUUCAGCACCUGCUACCUGCGAGGUUAUGCGUGGGCCAAAAGUAACAAUCCGUUAAGUUUAAGGAGCACUUGAAGCAUUUCUGGACUUGUUGGCUCAGAUCCUCCUCGUAACGCGGUGAGAUAAGCAAAGAAGAGAUUGUUCUUCCAUGCAAUAUUUGGGAUCGAACCCAGGGCCUUAUACAUGCUGGGCAAGUACUCUACCACUCCAGCCCAGAAACCCUUGAAUUUAUCACUGAUCAGUCAGAAGUAUGGGUUGGACUACAACUGGUUCUUCCUCAUUCUGGGAAUGAAGAUCCCACGUGCCACAGUCCAUGUUGUCAGCGUGCCUCUCUUCCUUUGGCCCUCUAAACUAGAAGCGGUCAGAAAAGACUGAGCUAAAGCCAGAAGGCAGUAGAUCCUGGUCUCACAGAAGCCACUUAACAGUCAGGUGCUACUGGAAAAAACAGAGACAGAAGUCAAGUGACUCUCUCCAUGUACAGCUGGCCUUCAAUGUCUGUGUAUCCUACAUCCGCAGAGUUGCCAACUAUGGGUCAAAAAUAUGGGGAGAAAACUGUUAUAUUGAGAAUGUUCAGAAUUUUAGGGGGGCUCAUUAUUCCCAUAACGAUAGAGUGCUAUAGCUGUUUACAUACAUUGUGUUAGAUAUUAUUAAGUAAUUUAGAGAUGAUUUAAAGUACAGAGAGAGGAGGACAUGCAUAGGUUAUAUGCAAAUACUAUACCAUUUGACAUGAGAGAGUUGAGCAUCCUGGGAUUUGGGUAUUUGUGAAGGUCCUGGAAAUAAUAUGAAUGGGGGGAAGCCUUUGUCCUUAAUUUCAGUUGAAGUAACAAGAAGCUGUUUCCCUUCUGUCCCAUCAGAAAGAGCCUCAGGAGCACGCUCAGUCAGGUAUCAGGUUGGGCAUCUGCCUGUGUCUUGUUUUGUCUUCACACAUCAUGCCUGGACCUUCAGACCUCAUGACUGGGACACUGUACUCACAUUUGUCAACCUCUCCCUUUGAGGAACUGGCCAGUGUUCUCUAAACUCCCAACUUCU